Molecule: ribosomal RNA, 526 nt
Filed under: Enterococcus faecium
Lineage: Bacteria; Bacillati; Bacillota; Bacilli; Lactobacillales; Enterococcaceae
Description: bacterial SSU rRNA
Rfam family: Bacterial small subunit ribosomal RNA
Source: RNAcentral
UGAUCCUGGCUCAGGAUGAACGCUGGCGGCGUGCCUAAUACAUGCAAGUCGAGCGAACAGACGAGGAGCUUGCUCCUCUGACGUUAGCGGCGGACGGGUGAGUAACACGUGGAUAACCUACCUAUAAGACUGGGAUAACUUCGGGAAACCGGAGCUAAUACCGGAUAAUAUAUUGAACCGCAUGGUUCAAUAGUGAAAGACGGUUUUGCUGUCACUUAUAGAUGGAUCCGCGCCGCAUUAGCUAGUUGGUAAGGUAACGGCUUACCAAGGCAACGAUGCGUAGCCGACCUGAGAGGGUGAUCGGCCACACUGGAACUGAGACACGGUCCAGACUCCUACGGGAGGCAGCAGUAGGGAAUCUUCCGCAAUGGGCGAAAGCCUGACGGAGCAACGCCGCGUGAGUGAUGAAGGUCUUCGGAUCGUAAAACUCUGUUAUUAGGGAAGAACAAAUGUGUAAGUAACUAUGCACGUCUUGACGGUACCUAAUCAGAAAGCCACGGCUAACUACGUGCCAGCAGCCGCGGUA